Molecule: ribosomal RNA, 253 nt
Filed under: uncultured bacterium
Lineage: Bacteria
Description: partial 16S ribosomal RNA
Rfam family: Bacterial small subunit ribosomal RNA
Source: RNAcentral
UACAGAGGUCCCAAGCGUUGUUCGGAUUCAUUGGGCGUAAAGGGUGCGUAGGCGGCGCGGUAAGUCGGGUGUGAAAUCUCGGGGCUUAACUCCGAAACUGCAUUCGAUACUGCCGUGCUUGAGGACUGGAGAGGAGACUGGAAUUUACGGUGUAGCGGUGAAAUGCGCAGAUAUCAGGAGGAACACCAAUUGCGAAGGCAGCUCGCUGGGACGUUACUGACGCUGAGACGCGAAAGCGUGGGGAGCAAACAGG